UACGUAGGUGGCAAGCGUUGUCCGGAAUUACUGGGUGUAAAGGGAGCGCAGGCGGGAAGCCAAGUCAGCUGUGAAGACUACGGGCUUAACUUGUAGACUGCAGUUGAAACUGGUUUUCUUGAGUGAAGUAGAGGUUGGCGGAAUUCCGAGUGUAGCGGUGAAAUGCGUAGAUAUUCGGAGGAACACCGGUGGCGAAGGCGGCCAACUGGGCUUUAACUGACGCUGAGGCUCGAAAGUGUGGGGAGCAAACAGG
This 253-nucleotide ribosomal RNA is filed under the name uncultured bacterium. RNAcentral's name for it is "partial 16S ribosomal RNA". It matches the Rfam family "Bacterial small subunit ribosomal RNA", at positions 524 to 776 of the family's 1533-position model. The record is from RNAcentral.